GGUAGUGGCUCAGCGGUAGAGUGCUCAACUAGCAUAUGCAAGGCCCUGAGUUCGAUUCUUAGCACCA
Molecule: transfer RNA, 67 nt
Filed under: Marmota monax (woodchuck)
Lineage: Eukaryota; Metazoa; Chordata; Mammalia; Rodentia; Sciuridae
Description: tRNA.Ala
Source: RNAcentral